AUCGAAAAAUAGCCGAAUUCCGCUUAGCGGAAACGGGGGAACCACGUUUUUGGGGUGAAUGGUUGCUACUCCUAGCAGCCUAGGGCGUCCUUUCGACCGAACCCUUCAGCUAACCUCGUAGGCUCACGAAGGGAGCAGUU
This 140-nucleotide small RNA is filed under the name Brevibacillus brevis. RNAcentral describes it as "c-di-AMP sequence". It matches the Rfam family "c-di-AMP riboswitch aptamer (ydaO/yuaA leader)". From Rfam's summary of the family: This family represents a conserved RNA structure found upstream of the ydaO and yuaA genes in Bacillus subtilis and related genes in other bacteria. The ydaO/yuaA element is thought to act as a genetic "off" switch for the ydaO and yuaA genes in its native state. It is believed that the element may be triggered during osmotic shock leading to activation of ydaO, a predicted amino acid transporter gene, and members of the yuaA-yubG operon which code for KtrA and KtrB K+ transporters. Lineage: Bacteria; Bacillati; Bacillota; Bacilli; Caryophanales; Paenibacillaceae. RNAcentral also lists the same sequence under 1 other name. The record is from RNAcentral.